This 253-nucleotide ribosomal RNA is filed under the name uncultured bacterium. RNAcentral's name for it is "partial 16S ribosomal RNA". It matches the Rfam family "Bacterial small subunit ribosomal RNA", at positions 524 to 776 of the family's 1533-position model. The record is from RNAcentral.
UACGGAGGGUGCAAGCGUUAAUCGGAAUUACUGGGCGUAAAGCGUGCGCAGGCGGUUUGUUAAGUCCGCUGUGAAAUCCCCGAGCUCAACUUGGGAAUUGCAGUGGAUACUGGCAAGCUGGAGUAUGGUAGAGGAAGGUGGAAUUCCCGGUGUAGCAGUGAAAUGCGUAGAGAUCGGGAGGAACACCAGUGGCGAAGGCGGCCUUCUGGACCAAUACUGACGCCCAUGCACGAAAGCGUGGGGAGCAAACAGG